This 804-nucleotide long non-coding RNA is filed under the name Androctonus crassicauda. Lineage: Eukaryota; Metazoa; Arthropoda; Arachnida; Scorpiones; Buthidae. The record is from RNAcentral.
GCCAUGUUUAUACAGAAAAGUGACUGUUUCUAUAGCACAGUGUGCAGAUGCAUUGUCAGCUAGAAGUGACAUAUCUUUUGACAGCAAACUUCUUUUUUUCUUGAUACAUUCCCAUAACUUUUGUAGCAGGUUCCUAUAGUUUGCUCGUUAUUGUUGACCCUUUGUGUAAGUAAUCUAUCAAUAUGAUACUGUUGCUGUCUCAACACAGACAUGACCUUGCUGGACAGUUUUCUUUUAGGUCAUCUUGUGUUUACAAAAUGUUACUAAUGUUAAAAAUAUUCAAAUGUGGUUGUACCAGCCUAAAGGAUGGUGCAGCUACAUUUAAAUUCCUGUUUUCUAUUGUUUCACAAUCUCAUAUGAUGGAUAUUCCUCACCAUUUGCAGUUUUCCCUUGAAGAUGAAGGAAUCAUAUCAUAGCUCAAUAGUCAGUUUUGUACAACAUACACCUACUAUCACUCUUCUAACUCUGCCAAACAGAACCUUCAAAAUAAAAAAGCAUUUAUAUUAUCAGCUGAAACAUGUAAGAUGCUACAGAUCUAUAAGUGUAAACAAUGUAGUAACCUAUCAUUGUUUACACUUAUAGGUAGUUCUAGAGCAGUCUAUUGGACCCUAGAAAUCAUGUGGAGACAAAAAACUGAAAGAUUAUUAAAUGAUAGAUCGGCUCUAGAACUAACUCACACAUGAACCUAUGCAGUUGAAACAAAAUUCAGAUGAAAACACUCCUCUCUAGUAUAAGAAUAGUAAAGACUAUUAUUAUUAUUGUAGUAUUAAUAUUGUUUUUAAACUUGUAACUAUAGAAAACCAC